This 684-nucleotide long non-coding RNA is filed under the name Brassica napus (rape). Its description in RNAcentral is "long non-coding RNA (BNAP_LNC009232)". The record is from RNAcentral. Lineage: Eukaryota; Viridiplantae; Streptophyta; Magnoliopsida; Brassicales; Brassicaceae.
UUAAACCGGGUGUUAUCAGCUUAAUUGUGACCCCCUAAGCAUUGCUGGUAAUUUGAGCAUCAUAGAAAUGUGAUGUCUUAGCAGGGUUAUAAAGUAGGGUAAGAUCUCAAAGCAAAGAAGGUUUCUUUUGAGAGAUUUCUCUUAAAUAAACUUUUUUUUUUUGCUUUUAAGAUCAUAACCUCCGUUAUCGCUCUGCUGGGCUGCCGCACCUACUAUGUUCAAACCACCAGUAAUGUCUGGACCACGGCUACAGCUGAGAAUCGGGACCCGACCCAACCUCGCUCUAUGACUUCAUCUAAAUCUUCCCAGGUUGAGUCAAAAACAUCUUCAGUUUUUUCUUUACUUUCUCAUAUGUGUGCUUCGUUUGGUGGAAGUUUCAUCAGAAGCUCGCAUGCUUAGGCCAAUCUUCACUCGUGAACAAUUCCACAUGAGACCGUGAGAAAUAUUGAGAGUAUGAUGAAUCAAAUACACUGCCAAAUUGGCAUAUUUCGGUUACUUGCAUGCUAUGGAGGAUUGAUAUAAUCCGUUUGAUGCUUCUUUUGUUUCACUUUGUUUUUGAUCUUUCAGUCUUUUCUUUUAAUCGUUUUGUUAAUCUUUAUUGUUUUGUAUUACUAUUCAUUCAACGUUGUUCAAGCUUCUUACUUAUGAUUCGUGCUAUAUAAUGUCUUGAAUAGGCGUCCAAGC